UAGCAGAAAGACGCACCUGAGUUUCAUCAAACUCAUCAACAGCUACUACAUAACUCUGUCUCCACUUCACAAUGGUGCCAGAUUGUUCCAUGUCUACCAGUGACUUUCCAGCUUUCGUUCCUUGUGACUUAUCUUGUGUUUUUUUAUUCUCUUUUUUGAUCUCCAGUGUGCUUUAUGUGUUUGUUUGAAGCUGUUUGUGCUUGCCUCAAGUGCGGAUUUCUCCGGAAUUCGCAAUUUCCUCUCCAGCUCACCUGUGCUGCCUGCUACGUUCCUGUAACCCAGAAAGACCACUCAUUCCUGCAACUAUCUUUCUACAAGGACUUACUACAGCACCACCUGUCCAUUCCUGCUUCAGUGGCUUCCCACAGUCUCCCUGUUAACUAUUUAUCACCAUCCCUGCCAGGUACUCAGGAGAGUUAGAGUGCCAUCUCUCUCCUCUUCUGAGGAACUCAUGCAGCUAUAUGAGACUUGGAAAGACAAAGAAGAUUUUGAGAAAAACUCUGCAUCUACUGUGGCGAGUCUGGUUACUUCCUUCCAGGGCGAGCUCAUCACGGUUCGGGGGACAUUGAUAAGCCAGCUCACUUCUCCCUCUACUCAACUGCAUACGCUCUUUCAGUUAUUUUAAAGAUGUCACUGUAACAAAUAUCGUGGCACAUUUAAUCAGGAUAACUAAAAGCUGUAGUUAUAAACUCUCCAAAAGAAACAGAAUUAAACGUUUAGCUUCUUAAAUACA
Long non-coding RNA from Acanthopagrus latus (yellowfin seabream), 733 nucleotides. RefSeq lists it as uncharacterized. Lineage: Eukaryota; Metazoa; Chordata; Actinopteri; Spariformes; Sparidae. The transcript is spliced from 2 exons. The record is from RefSeq and is a predicted model, not a curated record.